UGAGAUAUCUUUACCUUCGACUCUUAUGAUAUGAGGUACUUUUGCUUUUGAAGAAGUAUAUUUCCACAUGUUUAAUCUUGAACUGGGCUGGGGAACUUCUUAGCAAGGAAGAGGAGACUUGCUCUUGAAGGAAAUCGGACCAUGAGCAGUCUGACAUGGCAAAUGAUCCUUAGCUUAGUUGAGGAUGAAUCAGCAUGUUGUCUCCACAUACUUUUAAGGUAUCAUUUUCAUUUGCCUUAUCUGUUGUCCAAGCAGAUGUGGCAUCUUCUUUGGAAGUACAUCAGCAGUUGAAGAUGAGUACUCGAGAGCAAUGCUAGGUAAGUAACCAGGAAAGGGUUCUAAGACGUCGGUUCUAGAUCAGAAGAUUGAUACUAAGUGCUGGCUGAUUGCCCUCUUUCUCCUUUUCUCGCAGGUGAGAACAAAGACAAGAAAAUGACAGGGAGAAAGAAUGAUAUGAGAUAUUUUUGCUUUCCACAUUCCUGAUCUGAAAUACUUUUGCUCUUGAUGACUUGUUUGCAGAGGUACCCCAGGGAAUGAGGAACACUGAGUAACUCAAGAGGCUUCGUUGGGAAUACAUUCUCAGAGAUGAAGAAAGGUUGAGUAAGUCUGCCUUGCUAUGGAGGG
RNAcentral lists this long non-coding RNA (624 nucleotides) under Malus domestica (apple). RNAcentral describes it as "long non-coding RNA (MDOM_LNC017782)". The record is from RNAcentral. Lineage: Eukaryota; Viridiplantae; Streptophyta; Magnoliopsida; Rosales; Rosaceae.